This is a long non-coding RNA of Cyprinus carpio (common carp), 1281 nucleotides long. Lineage: Eukaryota; Metazoa; Chordata; Actinopteri; Cypriniformes; Cyprinidae. The record is from Ensembl.
UUUUAUUUCAAUUAAUGUUUAUAUUGUUUCAAGUAAUCCUUUUUUUUAAUAAUAAUAACCUUGUUAUUAUGAAGCCUCCAUUUACCAAGGGUAGCUAGGGCAGAUGAUUUAUAAAAACUGUUUAUAAUAUGGCUUCAUGCAUACUUACUAUGAUACUUUUAUGGUGCUUUUGAGUCCUUUCUGAACCUUAAAAGCCUCAUUUUCUAUCUGCUUUAAUAUGGAAAAGAGUAACCAGUACAAUCUUCAAAAUGUUUCCUUUUAUGUUCCACUUGAAUAAAGAAAGAAAGAAAGAAAGAAAGAAAGAAAGAAAGAAAGAAAGAAAGAAAGAAAGAAAGAAAGAAAGAAAGAAAGAAAGAAAGAAAGAAAGAAAGAAAGAAAGAAAUGGUUUAGGACAAUGUGAGUGUGAGUGAAUAAUGGCAGAAAUUUCAUUUCCGUGUGAUCUAAUUCAUUGAUAUGAACUUUUGACGUCAAAGUCAUACCAACACGCGUAUGUCUGCAUGUCAAAACACAAUAGCAAUUAUAGGGGCUGGCCUCCAAACUAAAUAACUCACUCUUUCUCUCCCUCCAAAGUGCUCCCAACCCCGUGAAACGCUGACACGGCUGAUCAGUCUGAGUGGUGGAUGAAAAAGUGCUGAGUCAGCCUGGGCUGCACCGUCCUCCUCCAGAGCAGAGAUGCUUAGAAUGUGGCCUCAUCAAUAAUGAAAUGUUCCCUCGGCCUGCCGAGAGCCAUAGCCAGAGCUCAGGUCUCUGCUUCUCAUCACCCACUGCAGUGGCUUCAGUACCAGUCGGGUGUCAGCGAAGGCGAGAUAAUGCAUGUGGGCUAUACAGAAUGCUGGAGCACAAUGCGCUGUUGGUAACUGGGAUGGCCCCGGGCAUUUUGGGAUCGGAAUAAUUAAAACUGUUAUUCAGCUUCAUAAAAUCAAUGACAAACUCCUACCAUGCCCUGGCAAGAGACAGAUGGUGUGACGCCAUAUAUCAGAGCAGCAAUCUGCACUCCCAUCAAACAUUUACACAUUUUCACCUCCCUUUCUGGAGAACACACACACACACACAAUACUAGUAAAGUGCACUGUCUACCCCAGUCCUCUUCUCACUUAGCUCUGGAUUUCGGUGGAUUUUCCCUUCCCCCAGCUCUCAUGCCCACUCCCUGCUCCUGAAAAAGCUCCCGGGAAGCUCAGUGGUGCAGUGUUUCAAGACUCCCCCAUGUGGGAGCUGUCCUGAAUGGGUCAUUCAGAGGCCAUCUAGCAACAGACCAACACAUGGUCCAAUCAAAUAAUACAU